RNAcentral lists this ribosomal RNA (256 nucleotides) under uncultured microorganism. Its description in RNAcentral is "partial 16S ribosomal RNA". It matches the Rfam family "Bacterial small subunit ribosomal RNA", at positions 9 to 258 of the family's 1533-position model. The record is from RNAcentral.
GAGUUUGAUCGUGGCUCAGAUUGAACGCUGGCGGCAUGCCUUACACAUGCAAGUCGAACGGCAGCAUGAUCUAGCUUGCUAGAUUGAUGGCGAGUGGCGAACGGGUGAGUAAUACAUCGGAACGUGCCCUGUAGUGGGGAGUAACUAGUCGAAAGAAUUAGCUAAUACCGCAUACGACCUGAGGGUGAAAGUAGGGGGACCGGCAAGGCCUCAUGCUAUAGGAGCGGCCGAUGUCUGAUUAGCUAGUUGGUGGGGU